AAAACAUAGCUAUAUGAUAUAAUAUAUAGUGGUUCUGCUCAAUGGUAAUCUAAAUAGCCGCAGUACACUGACUGUGCAAAGGUAGCAUAAUCAGUUGGCUUUUAAUUGGGGUCUGGGAUGAAUGAAAGUAUGGGUAGCUACUGUCUAACUAGUAUAUUAUAACAAAUUUAGUUAGCAAGUGCAAAGACUUGCAGAUAUAAAAAAGACGAGAAGACCCUAGAAACUUGUAAAAUUAUUUUGUUGGGGCGACAGAAUUACAUGGAACUAAUUUUAAAAAACAUGACGUUUAUUCAGAACGAAUAAGUUACUCUAGGGAUAACAGCAUAAUUUUUAUAGUUUGUGACCUCGAUGUUGGACUAGGUAUAUAAUUUUUUAGAAGAAAAUUUUCAAGCUCUGUUCGAGCAAAAGAACCUACAUGAUCA
This 422-nucleotide ribosomal RNA is filed under the name Loxana alabastrites. RNAcentral's name for it is "partial large subunit ribosomal RNA". It matches the Rfam family "Archaeal large subunit ribosomal RNA", at positions 1902 to 2675 of the family's 2987-position model. Lineage: Eukaryota; Metazoa; Mollusca; Gastropoda; Stylommatophora; Helicidae. The record is from RNAcentral.